GACGAACGCUGGCGGCGUGCUUAACACAUGCAAGUCGAACGGAAAGGCCCAGCUUGCUGGGUACUCGAGUGGCGAACGGGUGAGUAACACGUGGGUGAUCUGCCCCUGACUUUGGGAUAAGCCUGGGAAACUGGGUCUAAUACCGGAUAUGACCUUACAUCGCAUGGUGUUUGGUGGAAAGCUUUUGCGGUUGGGGAUGGGCCCGCGGCCUAUCAGCUUGUUGGUGGGGUAAUGGCCUACCAAGGCGACGACGGGUAGCCGACCUGAGAGGGUGAUCGGCCACACUGGGACUGAGACACGGCCCAGACUCCUACGGGAGGCAGCAGUGGGGAAUAUUGCACAAUGGGCGCAAGCCUGAUGCAGCGACGCCGCGUGAGGGAUGACGGCCUUCGGGUUGUAAACCUCUUUCACCAGGGACGAAGCGUGAGUGACGGUACCUGGAGAAGAAGCACCGGCAAACUACGUG
This 466-nucleotide ribosomal RNA is filed under the name uncultured bacterium. RNAcentral's name for it is "partial 16S ribosomal RNA". It matches the Rfam family "Bacterial small subunit ribosomal RNA", at positions 28 to 507 of the family's 1533-position model. The record is from RNAcentral.